GCUGGAAUAGCUCAGUUUGUUAGAGCGUUUGACUGCUAACCUCGAGGUUGGUGGUUCGACCUCUCCUUCUAGCG
This 74-nucleotide transfer RNA is filed under the name Brassica napus (rape). It matches the Rfam family "tRNA". Rfam says of the family: Transfer RNA (tRNA) molecules are approximately 80 nucleotides in length. Their secondary structure includes four short double-helical elements and three loops (D, anti-codon, and T loops). Further hydrogen bonds mediate the characteristic L-shaped molecular structure. tRNAs have two regions of fundamental functional importance: the anti-codon, which is responsible for specific mRNA codon recognition, and the 3' end, to which the tRNAs corresponding amino acid is attached (by aminoacyl-tRNA synthetases). tRNAs cope with the degeneracy of the genetic code in two manners: having more than one tRNA (with a specific anti-codon) for a particular amino acid; and 'wobble' base-pairing, i.e. permitting non-standard base-pairing at the 3rd anti-codon position. The record is from Rfam by way of RNAcentral. Lineage: Eukaryota; Viridiplantae; Streptophyta; Magnoliopsida; Brassicales; Brassicaceae.